This 661-nucleotide ribosomal RNA is filed under the name uncultured marine eukaryote. Its description in RNAcentral is "SSU rRNA". It matches the Rfam family "Eukaryotic small subunit ribosomal RNA", at positions 620 to 1285 of the family's 1831-position model. The record is from RNAcentral.
UAGAACGCUCGUAGUCGGAUUUCGGGGCGGGCCGACCGGUCUGCCGAUGGGUACGCACUGGUCGGCGCGUCCUUCCUUCCGGAGACCGUGCCUACUCUUAACUGAGCGGGGGCGGGAGACGGAUCGUUUACUUUGAAAAAAUCAGAGUGUUUCAAGCAGGCAGCUCGCUCUUGCAUGGAUUAGCAUGGGAUAAUGAAAUAGGACUUUGGUGCUAUUUUGUUGGUUUCGAACACCGAAGUAAUGAUUAACAGGGACAGUCAGGGGCACUCGUAUUCCGCCGAGAGAGGUGAAAUUCUCAGACCAGCGGAAGACGAACUACUGCGAAAGCAUUUGCCAGGGAUGUUUUCACUGAUCAAGAACGAAAGUUAGGGGAUCGAAGAGGAUCAGAUACCCUCGUAGUCUUAACCAUAGACCAUGCCGACUAGGGAUUGGGGGAUGUUCACAUAUCGACUCCCUCAGCACCUUACGGGAAACUAAAGUCUUUGGGUUCCGGGGGGAGUAUGGUCGCAAGGCUGAAACUUAAAGGAAUUGACGGAAGGGCACCACCAGGUGUGGAGCCUGCGGCUUAAUUUGACUCAACACGGGGAAACUUACCAGGUCCAGACAUUGUGAGGAUUGACAGAUUGAGAGCUCUUUCUUGAUUCGAUGGGUGGUGGUGCAU